GGCAUGCCUAACACAUGCAAGUCGAACGAAGGCUUCGGCCUUAGUGGCGCACGGGUGCGUAACGCGUGGGAAUCUACCCUUGGGUUCGGAAUAACAGUGAGAAAUUACUGCUAAUACCGGAUGAUGUCGAAAGACCAAAGAUUUAUCGCCCGAGGAUGAGCCCGCGUAGGAUUAGCUAGUUGGUGAGGUAAAGGCUCACCAAGGCGACGAUCCUUAGCUGGUCUGAGAGGAUGAUCAGCCACACUGGGACUGAGACACGGCCCAGACUCCUACGGGAGGCAGCAGUGGGGAAUAUUGGACAAUGGGCGAAAGCCUGAUCCAGCAAUGCCGCGUGAGUGAUGAAGGCCUUAGGGUUGUAAAGCUCUUUACCCGGGAUGAUA
RNAcentral lists this ribosomal RNA (380 nucleotides) under Sphingomonas sp. CaGL15. RNAcentral's name for it is "bacterial SSU rRNA". It matches the Rfam family "Bacterial small subunit ribosomal RNA", at positions 41 to 450 of the family's 1533-position model. The record is from RNAcentral. Lineage: Bacteria; Pseudomonadati; Pseudomonadota; Alphaproteobacteria; Sphingomonadales; Sphingomonadaceae.